GACGAACGCUGGCGGCGUGCUUAACACAUGCAAGUCGAACGGAAAGGCCCUGCUUUUGUGGGGUGCUCGAGUGGCGAACGGGUGAGUAACACGUGAGUAACCUGCCCUUGACUUCGGGAUAACUUCAGGAAACUGGGGCUAAUACCGGAUAGGAGCUCCUGCUGCAUGGUGGGGGUUGGAAAGUUUCGGCGGUUGGGGAUGGACUCGCGGCUUAUCAGCUUGUUGGUGGGGUAGUGGCUUACCAAGGCUUUGACGGGUAGCCGGCCUGAGAGGGUGACCGGCCACAUUGGGACUGAGAUACGGCCCAGACUCCUACGGGAGGCAGCAGUGGGGAAUAUUGCACAAUGGGCGGAAGCCUGGUGCAGCAACGCCGCGUGCGGGAUGACGGCCUUCGGGUUGUAAACCGCUUUCGCCUGUGACGAAGCGUGAGUGACGGUAAUGGGUAAAGAAGCACCGGCUAACUACGUG
Molecule: ribosomal RNA, 468 nt
Filed under: uncultured bacterium
Lineage: Bacteria
Description: partial 16S ribosomal RNA
Rfam family: Bacterial small subunit ribosomal RNA
Source: RNAcentral